This is a long non-coding RNA of Anthonomus grandis grandis, 532 nucleotides long. RefSeq lists it as uncharacterized. The record is from RefSeq and is a predicted model, not a curated record. NCBI's taxonomy places the organism in Eukaryota, Metazoa, Arthropoda, Insecta, Coleoptera, Curculionidae. The transcript is spliced from 3 exons.
UGUUUUUCAUCUCCCUGUACAUUUUUUGAAAAAACGCUGAAAUAGGUGUCUAAUCAUUUUAAUUGAAGAAUAUUUGUGCAAAUUUUCAGCUCCCUAGCUUUCUUUGUUUUUGAGUUAUGAGUAUGUUGAGAUGAUUUUUUGAAAAAAAAUCACAUUUCUUCAAAAAAAAAUUGUUUUUCAUCUCCCUGUACAUUUUUUGAAAAAACGCUGAAAUAGGUGUCUAAUCAUUUUAAUUAAAGAAUAUUUGUGCAAAUUUUCAGGUCUCUAGCUUUCUUGGUUUUUGAGUUAUGAGCAUGUUGAUAGGAUUUUUUGAAAAAAAAUCAAAUUUUUUCAAAAAAAAAUUGUUUUUCAUCUCCCUGUAUAUUUUUUGAAAAAACGCUGAAAUAGGUGUCCAAUCAUUUUAAUUGAAGAAUAUUUGUGCAAAUUUUCAGCUCCCUAGCUUUCUUUGUUUUUGAGUUAUGAGUAUGUUGAGAUGAUUUUUUGAAAAAAAAUCACAUUUCUUCAAAAAAAAAUUGUUUUUCAUCUCCCUGUA